This 529-nucleotide ribosomal RNA is filed under the name uncultured bacterium. RNAcentral's name for it is "bacterial SSU rRNA". It matches the Rfam family "Bacterial small subunit ribosomal RNA", at positions 8 to 526 of the family's 1533-position model. The record is from RNAcentral.
AGAGUUUGAUCCUGGCUCAGAGUGAACGCUGGCGGCAGGCCUAACACAUGCAAGUCGAACGGCAGCACAGGGGAGCUUGCUCCCUGGGUGGCGAGUGGCGGACGGGUGAGGAAUACAUCGGAAUCUACCUUGUCGUGGGGGAUAACCUCGGGAAACCGGGACUAAUACCGCAUACGACCUACGGGUGAAAGCGGAGGACCGCAAGGCUUCGCGCGAUUGGAUGAGCCGAUGUCGGAUUAGCUUGUUGGCGGGGUAACGGCCCACCAAGGCGACGAUCCGUAGCUGGUCUGAGAGGAUGAUCAGCCACACUGGAACUGAGACACGGUCCAGACUCCUACGGGAGGCAGCAGUGGGGAAUAUUGGACAAUGGGCGCAAGCCUGAUCCAGCCAUGCCGCGUGAGUGAAGAAGGCCCUCGGGUUGUAAAGCUCUUUUGUCCGGAAAGAAAAGCUUUCGGUUAAUACCCGGAAGUACUGACGGUACCGGAAGAAUAAGCACCGGCUAACUUCGUGCCAGCAGCCGCGGUAAUAC